CCUACGGGAGGCAGCAGUGGGGAAUAUUGGGCAAUGGGCGCAAGCCUUACCCAGCAACACCGCGUGAGUGAAGAAGGCUUUCGGAUUGUAAACUUCUUUGAUCAGGGACGAAUAGAUGACGGUACCUGACGAAUAAGCCCCGGCUAACUACGUGCCAGCAGCCGCGGUAAUACGUAGGUGGCAAGCGUUGUCCGGAGUGACUGGGCGUAAAGGGCGGGUAGCCGGGUUGACAAGUAAGAGGUGAAAUCCUCGGGCUUAACCGCAGAGCUGCCUUUGAAACUGUUGAUCUUGAGUACUGGAGAGGUAGAUGGAAUUCCUAGUGUAGCGGUGAAAUGCGUAGAUAUUAGGAGGAACACCAGUGGCGAAGGCGAUUUGCUGGACCGUAACUGACGGUGAGGCGCGAAAGUGUGGGGAGCAGACAGGAUUAGAUACCCGAGUAGUC
RNAcentral lists this ribosomal RNA (442 nucleotides) under uncultured bacterium. RNAcentral describes it as "partial 16S ribosomal RNA". It matches the Rfam family "Bacterial small subunit ribosomal RNA", at positions 338 to 795 of the family's 1533-position model. The record is from RNAcentral.